CAGUCUGCCCUAAGACCCCAAAUGUUGUAAGACAGGAAGUGCUACAAGUUGCCUCAUGAAUAUAUUAAUGAGAACAGUUUUUCUUUGUUUCUGAUAAAAGUAAAGGUUUUUAGAGCUAUCUAAGUUGAAAUAUGUAAUAAGAAGACAGUUUAACAUACGAUAAACACUUUAAAAUAUGAAUUUGGGUCAAACUGGCAUUAAGUUGUGAAAACGAUUGCGGAAAGUUCGAGAGUUUGAGCAAGCUGUUCACCAUCAACGUAGCAAGCUAAAAAUUGGUUGAUCAAAUCAAAAGGAUCUAAAUUACAACAUAUUCAAGGUAAAUGCCAUACAAAUGAAUGGUGUUUGCAAAGCAGUUACACAAACUUUGAAAUAAAUACACAACUUGGCAAUAGCAUAGAACACUUCAUGAAUGACUUCAAGCCUUCUAGCUUGCUGCUAAGCAUGCACAUGCAUCAGAUGCACUAGUUGAUCCUUUAGGCAGUCUCUGGUUCCAUUCACAUCUGGAGAUAUGCAGCCAUGAGUUCCACCAACCACAGAGAUUAUUCAGAAUGAGCUAACUUUGAGAGUUUGCGCAAGCUGUUCACACUAUCUCAAUCCAGUCCAAACUUGCUGAGUCAAUACAUUCCAUAUUGAACUAAUUUAUCUCCUAGUAACAAGUUCUAGUUCAGUAAAUGGUCUGUGUUAUGAGCUUUGGAAAUUCAGAAAAAAAUCACCCUUCACUACAAUCUGACAGAGUUGUAGGGUGCAUCAUUAUGAAUCUCAUUAUAUAAUUAUGAAUUUCAUUAAAACAAUGUUUUUGUGAUGUCAUCCUUAUGAAACCAUUAAAAUACUUGUGGUAUGUAUUUCCUGUCUUGUCUUGCAAAUACUGAAAACUUGGGGGUCUUAGGGCAGACUGAACAGUGCAGUGCAGUACAGUGCCAUCAGCAAAUCAAGAAUGUUUAUGACCAGAAGCUCAAUUCGCCUGGGAUGGCAAACUCUAGCCAACUCUUCUUAAGGCCACUAAAAGAUUGAUCAGCUUACCAGGAGGUGACAGGCAGCGUACAAAGUAUGACCACCAGUACCUUGAUGUUGAGGAAAAGAGACUUUGUAGUUUACAUUGCAAACAUUGAUUAUUAUUAAUUUAUUGUACAUACAUGUCAUGUAGGCUUAAUCAUAUAAUUAUACUAUACAUUCA
Halichondria panicea is the source of this 1174-nucleotide long non-coding RNA. RefSeq lists it as uncharacterized. Lineage: Eukaryota; Metazoa; Porifera; Demospongiae; Suberitida; Halichondriidae. The record is from RefSeq and is a predicted model, not a curated record. The transcript has 2 exons.